Molecule: long non-coding RNA, 2062 nt
Filed under: Carica papaya (papaya)
Lineage: Eukaryota; Viridiplantae; Streptophyta; Magnoliopsida; Brassicales; Caricaceae
Description: long non-coding RNA (CPAP_LNC007104)
Source: RNAcentral
AGGGGUUGAAAUAUGAAUAUUAAAAUCUUAAUGCAGUUGAACCACUGAAGUCAAGGUACCGCAAGAUUUUUUUGAGAUAAAAAAAUGGCCUAAAGAAAACUAGAUAGUUAGACUAUGUAUAUGUAACUAUAGGGAAGCCAAUAAAAUAUUUACCUCUAGCUAGUUCAGCAUGUCAACAGUAGCCUCCAGGUCACCAUUGUUUGCAAUGUACACAUCUGCUAUGGACUGAUCAGAUGCUCCUGGAAAGUGCAUCUUAAGAAACUCCAUAUGUACAUCCCACUUGUAAUAACAAGGCCCAAGGGAGAGGAGGAAGCCCAGGUCCAGGCCAGUAAAAAGAAAAAAAAAAGAAAAAAAAAAUAAAUAAAGAUUAAAAAAAAGAAAAAAAGAAGCCCUAGUAGAAAGGGGGACAAGGCAGUGGAGAAGAAGAAGAAGAAAAAGGAGGAGGAGAAGAAGGAGAAAGAAAGAAGCAUGGCGCGUGGUGCACGCAGCCGGAAAAGAGAAGUUGCAUGGGGUGUCGGGUGCGUUGCCGCCAAAGAAGAAGAAGAAGAAGAAGAAGAAGAAGGAGGAGGAAGGAAGCGUGGCGCGUGACCGGAAGAGAAGAGCUACGUGCGGUCCUCUGUGCUGGGGGCGCGUUGCGUAGUGUCGGGCGCACGACGCGCGCUGUUGAAGAAGAAGAAGCAAAGUGCAUGUUGGGUGGUCCUGAUAUGCAUGAAAUAGACCAUGAUGUGACGUUUCGGAUCCGUUCAAAGAUCCGUGCGAGGCCAAAAAUCAAGGAACCAGAAAGAGAGACCGAAACCGCACUCUUUCAGAUCGGAAUCCAAAUUCGACAUCGAUUUCAGUAAAUUUUCUUCCACCUUACAUUCGAUUAUUCUUUUAAAUUAAAUUCUUAAUCAUGUGUAUAAAAUUUUUAGAGCAAUCGGGAAUAGGAAACUGAAAUGAGACUGACUGUAUGGAACCAAAGUUGUUUAAAAAUUUUCCGAUUUUUUCUUUCGUUGGAGAUUCUAGUAAGAAUUGAGUUAGUUUUCAUUCAGAGAUUUCAUGUUUUCAUAAAAUAAUUUAUUGAUUUCAAAAGAUGGACCCAAGUUUAAUGAAUGAUUUUAGAAUGUAUUUUCUCACAAAUUAUUUUUCGUAUAUAAAAGUAUGUGAAUGGCUUUGUACGAUUAUGUUUGUGUAAUUAAAAAUAAUGUUAAAGCUGUAUGAUUACAUAGUUGAGUGUGUUUGAGUGUAUGUGCGUGUGUCAAUAGAUACACAUAUAGGAAAUAAUGGGUGGGAGUGUAUGUUUAUAAACUAUAUGUUUUGAUGUACAUAUACAUAUGAUUAUGUGGGUAAUUAUUUUGAAUGAUCAUUAUGUUAUUUCGUAUAGAUAUGUGUGAUAUAUGUUAAAUAUAUGUAGUAUAUAGUGAAGAUGAAUAUAUGCGUGCAGGACAACAUAUGCAUAAAUUAGGUGCAUACACAUUUGUGUGUGUGUUGACUUAUAUGUAAUGAAAGUUGUGUGGUAGCGUGUGUACAUAUAUAACUUAAGUGUGAAAGCACAAGUAUAUAUAUAUAUAUACACAUAUAUAUAAAGAUACUAUUAUAUAGACAUAUGUGCAUAUGUGCAUAUGUGAAAGAGAAUGAAGUACAUGGGUGUCUUAAUAUGCAUAUGUAUGAGUGUUUGGAUGUGUAUAGGUGUAUAUAAGUUUUCAAUGGGAGCUGUGUGUGCUGACAGUGAGUGCAAACAUACGUAUAUAUUAAAUUUGUGUAUACACACGUAAGAAUAUAUGGAUAAGUGAUGUGUAUGUGUGAGCAUAUAUAAUACAGUGUAUGUAUAGAUAAACGAUUAAAGUUGUUAUAUGAGUGUGAAUGUAAAUCUGUAAGUUUUUAAUAAUAGACAUGAUUAUAUGCGAAAUAUGUGUAGGGGUAGUUAAGAUAUACAUUGCUGUGCAUGUAUACAUAUAUAAUAUGAAGUGUACUACAUACAUGUAAAUUAUAUGUACAAUGGAUACGCGAACAAGUCAGUAAGUAUAGAAAUAUAAGAAUAUGUAUGUUUGUGAUUGGUGUUUGAGUUUUUGAAAUUAAGAUA